GCACUCCUGGGGAGUCCCACAAUAGGACGAAACGGCCGUCCAGUGC
This 46-nucleotide non-coding RNA is filed under the name Schistosoma haematobium. The record is from RNAcentral. Lineage: Eukaryota; Metazoa; Platyhelminthes; Trematoda; Strigeidida; Schistosomatidae.